Molecule: ribosomal RNA, 294 nt
Filed under: uncultured bacterium
Lineage: Bacteria
Description: partial 16S ribosomal RNA
Rfam family: Bacterial small subunit ribosomal RNA
Source: RNAcentral
GUGGAUUAGAUACCCUGGUAGUCCUGGCUGUAAACGAUGUCGACUAGAUCGUGGCGGCUCUGACGCUGUCACGGUCGAAGCAAAAGUGCUAAGUCGACCGCCUGGGAAGUACGGUCGCAAGGCUAAAACUCAAAGGAAUUGACGGGGGCUCACACAAGCGGUGGAGCAUGUGGUUCAAUUCGAAGCAACGCGCAGAACCUUACCUGGGCUUGACAUGCCAGGAUUAUCCCCAUGAAAGUGUGGUAGGCCCUUCGGGGUACAACUGGUACAGGUGCUGCAUGGCUGUCGUCAACU